Molecule: long non-coding RNA, 899 nt
Organism: Prionailurus viverrinus (fishing cat)
Lineage: Eukaryota; Metazoa; Chordata; Mammalia; Carnivora; Felidae
Exons: 3
Source: RefSeq, a predicted model, not a curated record
AUCAGCCAGAGGCCUGUGAUGGAUGUUCAGAUCAACCUGAAGGUGCCUUUGUGCUACACAUAUGUAUGACCUCAAGCACUGGGUCUAUCCAUUCUGGGUUUCUAAAUAUCCAGGAAUUUGGGAUCUUUGUAGACCCAUAGUUCCCUUUUAAUAUUUCCCUUUCUCCUCCAGGAAUCAGACGGAUUCCUCUUUCCAGACCCUGGCGGGGUGCUGAAUGGUCUAUGGGAGAAGAAUUGCUCUGGACUGAGUGUAUUGACGGGGAACGAGAUGAGGACAAACUGAUCUCCAGCCAUAUGGACCUGAAGAGGUGUCUCUGUUCCAUACCCUGUGAGAAGAUUCCUGGGCUCUAGGGAGAGGAUGGCUCUGUUAAACUAUUCGUGAAGUUCCGGGAGUCACUGAUGCGCCUGGAUUGUGACUGAUGGGCCAGUGGCACCUUCCAUCCGAGACGAACUCCAAGAAUUUCCGCUGCUGGCAGUGACCUCCCGGGCUGGGAGGAUCAGCUGCAUCUGCCUCCAGGAAUGUGGGACCUAGAGACACCAAACCUAGGAAGGCCUCCAUGAGGCCCGAAGCUUUAGUUCUAGAAAAUUCCGAGGGCUCCUAGCUCCCCCGCCCAUUUCCCUCCUUCUCCCUAAAUGUGAAGUCACCGCAGGCUGCCCUUGAGAUUUUCUGGAAAUGGAAAAUGAGAAAUCCUAGAGAGUUAGAUUUGAAACCGAAUUUAGUGGCCGUGGGGAUUUUUACCAGCCGGUGCUAUCCACAUGCUUGACCAAGGGCUGGGUGAAUGGCUCAGGUAGGUCACCUGAGCUUAGAUGGAUCACCUGCUCCCUCUGGUCCUUGCAGAAUGGGAACCCCAGCUCCUGGAGCUGUUGACUGGUUUUCACGGUGAUUAGGCUAAGUUUGGA